CAGCCGCCGCGGUAAUACAGAGGGUGCGAGCGUUAAUCGGAUUUACUGGGCGUAAAGCGUGCGUAGGCGGCUUCUUAAGUCGGAUGUGAAAUCCCUGAGCUUAACUUAGGAAUUGCAUUCGAUACUGGGAAGCUAGAGUAUGGGAGAGGAUGGUAGAAUUCCAGGUGUAGCGGUGAAAUGCGUAGAGAUCUGGAGGAAUACCGAUGGCGAAGGCAGCCAUCUGGCCUAAUACUGACGCUGAGGUACGAAAGCAUGGGGAGCAAACAGGAUUAGAUACCCCCGUAGUCCCUGUCUCUUAUAA
RNAcentral lists this ribosomal RNA (301 nucleotides) under uncultured bacterium. RNAcentral's name for it is "partial 16S ribosomal RNA". It matches the Rfam family "Bacterial small subunit ribosomal RNA", at positions 509 to 809 of the family's 1533-position model. The record is from RNAcentral.